UUGUGGUGCUGUACCAACACCAGAACGCGAGCUGAGCUGUUGAGUCAACGCCGCUGCUGGUCUGUGUGGUGAAACUCUAACGGCGUUUCCCUCUAUAUGAUGCUCUGAAAAGGCUUUGCAUUCUAUUCAUUCGAACUUCGAAUAGUUCACGUCUUUCUGUCCUCAGCUGACUCCUGCACAAGGAGCUCUUAUUCCUUCCCCCCAUCCUUCCCUCUCACAACCACCAUGACCCUGAUGAGCGGCCUGUAGGGAGAAGUGUGAUUCUGUAUCAUCAGUGGAUCUCCACUUUGUCUCAAAGUGCUUACCAGGGGACCGGCAGCUGAUUGUCCAGAAGGGAAACGCUCUGAUUGGUCCGAUUUCAUCAGAUGAUGAUGCCACCCUGUCUGUUUCAGGAAGGACCGUAUUAUAAUAAUGAAGUCAAAGAGGGUUUGAACUAACACAGUACUAACACAGUACUAACGCAUUACUAACGCAAUACUAACACAGUACUAACACAGUACUAACUCAGUACUAACGCAGUACUAACGCAGUACUAAAACAGUACUAACACAGUCCUAAAGCAAUACUAACACAGUACUAACACAGUACUAAAACAGUACUAACACAGUACUAACACAGUACUAACACAGUACUA
This 634-nucleotide long non-coding RNA is filed under the name Salmo salar (Atlantic salmon). Its description in RNAcentral is "lncRNA (ENSSSAG00000094010.1)". Lineage: Eukaryota; Metazoa; Chordata; Actinopteri; Salmoniformes; Salmonidae. The record is from RNAcentral.